AGUGAACGCUGGCGGUAGGCCUAACACAUGCAAGUCGUACGGCAGCACAGUAAGAGCUUGCUCUUACGGGUGGCGAGUGGCGUACGGGUGAAGUAUACAUCGGACUCUACUUUUUCGUGGGGGAUAACGUAGGGAAACUUACGCUAAUACCGCAUACGACCUACGGGUGAAAGCAGGGGAUCUUCGGACCUUGCGGGAAUGGAUGGGCUGGCGGCGGAUUAGCUAGUUGGCGGGGUAAAGGCCCACCAAGGCGACGAUGGGUAGCCGGCCUGAGAGGGUGACCGGCCACAUUGGGACUGAGAUACGGCCCAGACUCCUACGGGAGGCAGCAGUGGGGAAUAUUGCACAAUGGGCGCAAGACUGAUGCAGCAACGCCGCGUGCGGGAUGACGGCCUUCGGGUUGUAAACCGCUUUCAGCAGGGACGAAGCUUUUUGUGACGGUACCUGCAGAAGAAGCACCGGCUAACUACGUG
This 473-nucleotide ribosomal RNA is filed under the name uncultured bacterium. RNAcentral describes it as "partial 16S ribosomal RNA". It matches the Rfam family "Bacterial small subunit ribosomal RNA", at positions 29 to 507 of the family's 1533-position model. The record is from RNAcentral.